UGCCCAUGUUCGGUUCGCUAUGAACAGCGC
RNAcentral lists this small RNA (30 nucleotides) under Bombyx mori (domestic silkworm). Its description in RNAcentral is "piRNA piR-bmo-2126689". The record is from RNAcentral. Lineage: Eukaryota; Metazoa; Arthropoda; Insecta; Lepidoptera; Bombycidae.